This is a microRNA precursor of Oryza rufipogon (brownbeard rice), 275 nucleotides long. It matches the Rfam family "MIR821 microRNA precursor family". The record is from Rfam. NCBI's taxonomy places the organism in Eukaryota, Viridiplantae, Streptophyta, Magnoliopsida, Poales, Poaceae.
GAUAUCAACUGAAAAAGUCAUCAACAACAAAGUUGAAUAACUCAUCAAGAUCUAAAACUUUUAUUUUGGUCAUUUCUUCAUACGACAAAGCAAUAGUAACAUUGUUUACAAAAUUGACAUAUCUCUUAUCUGGUUUUAUAAACUAUAACACGUAUAUGUAAAAAUUGUGAAUAAUAUUACUAACAUUUCGUCAGAUGAAGAAAUAACAAAAAUAAAAGUUUUAGAUCUUGAUGAGUUAUUCAACUUUGUUGUUGAUGACUUUUUCAAUUGAAAUC